UAGGGAAUCUUCCGCAAUGGACGAAAGUCUGACGGAGCAACGCCGCGUGAGUGAUGAAGGCCUUCGGGUCGUAAAACUCUGUUGUUAGGGAAGAACAAGUAUCGGAGUCACUGCCGGUACCUUGACGGUGCCUAACCAGAAAGCCACGGCUAACUACGUGCCAGCAGCCGCGGUAAUACGUAGGUGGCAAGCGUUGUCCGGAAUUAUUGGGCGUAAAGCGCGCGCAGGCGGUCCUUUAAGUCUGAUGUGAAAGCCCACGGCUCAACCGUGGAGGGUCAUUGGAAACUGGGGGACUUGAGUGCAGAAGAGGAAAGCGGAAUUCCACGUGUAGCGGUGAAAUGCGUAGAGAUGUGGAGGAACACCAGUGGCGAAGGCGGCUUUCUGGUCUGUAACUGACGCUGAGGCGCGAAAGCGUGGGGAGCAAACAGGAUUAGAUACCCUGGUAGUCCACGCCGUAAACGAUGAGUGCUAAGUGUUAGAGGGUUUCCGCCCUUUAGUGCUGCAGCUAACGCAUUAAGCACUCCGCCUGGGGAGUACGGCCGCAAGGCUG
RNAcentral lists this ribosomal RNA (550 nucleotides) under uncultured Bacillus sp. RNAcentral describes it as "bacterial SSU rRNA". It matches the Rfam family "Bacterial small subunit ribosomal RNA", at positions 355 to 896 of the family's 1533-position model. The record is from RNAcentral. Lineage: Bacteria; Bacillati; Bacillota; Bacilli; Caryophanales; Bacillaceae.